UAUUGCCCUGGUAUUAACAUCUGGACRCCGCUACGGAUGGUAGAGAGAGUCCUCCAAGGGAGGUAUCCAGGCACAUACCUUCAAAACAGAGACUCUUUCUCCCGAGAAACRGACUGUUUUGUUCUAUGGUUGGUAGUGUCCGUGUUACGAAGGCUGAGCUACCAGAAGACUUAGCAGUGAAUUGCAAGUCUGAGAUCUGCAAGAGAAUCUUGUGGAAGUUGGGAAGCGGACACAGGAAAACAGCACAGACUCAUGGAGUCAUUAAGGUUGGAAGGGUUGCUAGUGUCUUCCUACAUUUCCAUUUAUGUCCCUAAACCCUUUCUUUCUAAACRUAAGAAGUGUAAAGACCUAUCUUCAGCAGCAGAGMUGAAUUUACAGAACUUAUGACUUUGGGAGACUUUAAUUCCUUUCCUGUGCAAGGCAAUUUCAAAGUACUUCUCUGCUUUCAGAAUAUUUGAGUAUCUGUUCAGGGAUGAUGUCUUGUUUCAAAGAUAUUGUGUUUGCAAUGUGCUAUCUAAGUUUGUAUGCUUUUUGAUGAAUGGUCACUUUUGAUCCUUUGCAAUCCAAUGAUCUUUGGAGCCAAAGGGAGAGACUAGUUUUAGUAGGUUUUCAGUAAGUUGUUUCAUGGAAGCCUGCGAUAUAGCCUAGGGGGACUGAGCUCAUCAACCAAAAACACAGUUCCUGCUACAGUAGCUGCUCUGGAAGCAAACCAGGUAGCCCUGUCACAGUGAAUGCCAGCCCAGAUCUGCCUCAUUUUGAGUUGGUGUUCCUGUAAAGGGUUCUUCACAAUUACACAUCUUAAUAUUAUCUCAAGACUGCUAUCCRAAGAAAUAGCUUAGAAAAUGGACAUCUCUCAUCUUUACGUGGAGGUAUCCUCCCUGUUUUGUGAUCAUAAGCUGAUGUUUCUAACACCUACGCAAUGAGAAAAAUGUAUUUAUACUAGGUCUGUCUUGUAGCUGGCAUAUUUUGGCCAGGAAAAUGUCACUUCACAUUGACCUUUUGAGAAUAGUCUUAGUUGUGUAUUAUUAUUAUUAUUUUUAUUUGCCAGGAGUCUUUUGUUCAUUUACUCUAUCAGUUCAAGUCUCCUCUUUUCUUAGUCACUAACAGUAAUUUGUGAAUGAACUGCAUCAGAAUCAGAGCUGUAAGUCACUUCCAGAAAUGUUAAUCAAUUUGGGUUGCAUUUGAGCUUAUUGGUAGCAUUCCUUUUUCCCCACUAUCUGUGGCUCCAGUAUUCUGACUCCAGAGGAGUUCU
Molecule: long non-coding RNA, 1252 nt
Organism: Nothoprocta perdicaria
Lineage: Eukaryota; Metazoa; Chordata; Aves; Tinamiformes; Tinamidae
Exons: 2
Source: RefSeq, a predicted model, not a curated record